This 445-nucleotide ribosomal RNA is filed under the name uncultured bacterium. RNAcentral's name for it is "partial 16S ribosomal RNA". It matches the Rfam family "Bacterial small subunit ribosomal RNA", at positions 354 to 796 of the family's 1533-position model. The record is from RNAcentral.
GUAAGGAAUAUUGGUCAAUGGGCGGAAGCCUGAACCAGCCAUGCCGCGUGCAGGACGACGGCCCUACGGGUUGUAAACUGCUUUUGCCCGGGAAUAACCCCCCGCUCUUGAGCGGGGCUGAACGUACCGGGAGAAUAAGGAUCGGCUAACUCCGUGCCAGCAGCCGCGGUAAUACGGAGGAUCCGAGCGUUAUCCGGAUUUAUUGGGUUUAAAGGGUGCGUAGGCGGCCUGUUAAGUCAGGGGUGAAAUACGGCAGCUCAACUGUCGCAGUGCCCUUGAUACUGACGGGCUUGAAUACCGGUGAAGGCGGCGGAAUGAGACAAGUAGCGGUGAAAUGCAUAGAUAUGUCUCAGAACCCCGAUUGCGAAGGCAGCUGCCUAACCGGCGAUUGACGCUGAUGCACGAAAGCGUGGGGAUCGAACAGGAUUAGAAACCCGGGUAGUCC